Nerophis lumbriciformis (worm pipefish) is the source of this 733-nucleotide long non-coding RNA. RefSeq lists it as uncharacterized. The record is from RefSeq and is a predicted model, not a curated record. Lineage: Eukaryota; Metazoa; Chordata; Actinopteri; Syngnathiformes; Syngnathidae.
CACAGAGGAGUCAGAUAUGAUUGCGUCGUCACGUAUCGAUCCGACCUGUCUCGUAUUGAUCCGGCCGACUGGUGCAGAAGGCCUGAAAUUGAGUUCAACUGCGUUCCACUUUAUCUGUGUGUGGUGGUGAAGGAGAUUAGAAUCCCAACGCGUGGUCUGAAUCCCAACCAAAGGAGUAAAUCCGGAAUGCAAACAUUGUAAUGAAUUCUGGGAUAAAUUUUGGUUGUGGAAGCAGCAGACAACACAGAUGCAACGAGUUCGCCUUUGAACGAUGUUCUGACGUCCUCCGAGGAAGAAAAACGUCGUCGGAUUGUGAGAAGAUUUGAGGGGAUUCCUCGGCCAACAAAAGAAACAUCCACAGGGGAGCGUUUGCAGGUGCUGCACAGAUGUUUCUGGAUUCUGAGUCAUGGGGAAGGCAAAAGAAUUGUCAAAGGAUCUGCGAGAAAAGAUCUGGUCCGUGGGCCUUGACUUUGACACACCUGAGCUAAGAGGAACCGAAAGUGGCGUCGGUGGGUGUUCCAGCUAACUUGUCGGGACACGUCUGUGGCGGGGGACGGCAGGAAGGGAGACACAGGUAGGGAUUACCCCCGGGCACAGGUGAGACGUGGUCGAGGUGUCCGGGCGGGUGGUCUUUAAGGGAUCACGCUUGUUUGUUUGUCGGCCAUUAGACGUGCCACAGCACUUUGUGGUGGGGGGCUGAGCCCGCCCUCCUAAUCCGGGCGGUGCAAUGACU